CAGCUACAGAGAGUCCAGACAGCAACUCCCACCCUGCAGAGACAGCCUACAGCUCAGGGAAGUAAGGGAUGGGGGGAAAGGCUGCAAGGAGACAUGGGGACACUGAGACACUAAGGGACACUGGGAGACAUUAUGGCAGACACUGAGACACUAAGGGACAUUGGGAGACAUUAUGGGAGACACUAAGGGACACUGGGAGACAUUAUGGCAGACACUGAGACACUAAGGGACACUGGGAGACAUUAUGACAGACACUGAGACACUAAGGGACACUGGGAGACAUUAUGGCAGACACUGAGACACUAAGGGACACUGGGAGACAUUAUGGCAGACACUGAGACACUAAGGGACAUUGGGAGACAUUAUGGCAGACACUGAGACACUAAGGGACAUUGGGAGACAUUAUGGCAGACACUGAGACACUAAGGGACACUGGGAGACAAUAUGGCAGACACUGAGACAUUAAGGGACAUUGGGAGACAUUAUGGCAGACACUGAGACACUAAGGGACACUUGGAGACAUUAUGGCAGACAUUGAGACACUAAGGGACACUGGGAGACAAUAUGGCAGACACUGAGACAUUAAGGGACAUUGGGAGACAUUAUGGCAGACACUGAGACACUAAGGGACAUUGGGAGACAUUAUGGCAGACAUUGAGACACUAAGGGACACUGGGAGACAUUAUGGCAGACACUGAGACACUAAGGGACAUUGGGAGACAUUAUGGCAGACAUUGAGACACUAAGGGACACUGGGAGACAAUAUGGCAGACACUGAGACACUAAGGGGCACUGGGAGACAUUAUGGCAGACACUGAGACACUAAGGGACACUGGGAGACAAUAUGGCAGACACUGAGACAUUAAGGGACAUUGGGAGACAUUAUGGCAGACACUGAGACACUAAGGGACAUUGGGAGACAUUAUGGCAGACAUUGAGACACUAAGGGACACUGGGAGACAAUAUGGCAGACACUGAGACACUAAGGGACACUGGGAGACAUUUUAGCAGACACUGAGACACUAAGGGGCACUGGGAGACAUUAUGGCAGACAUUGAGACACUAAGGGACACUGGGAGACAAUAUGGCAGACACUGAGACACUAAGGGACACUGGGAGACAGUAUGGCAGACAAUAAGGGACACUGGGAGACGUUAUGGCAGACACUGAGACACUAAGGGACACUGGGAGACAUUAUGGCAGACACUAAGGGACACUGGGAGACAUGGGUCACUGAGACACUGAUACAUAGGAACACUGAGACCUGGAGUAAUCGACACAUGGGGGCACUGAGUCAUGAGGGCACUGGGAGACAUGGGGGCACUGGGAGGAAUCCAUCUAUACAGCAGAAUCAAACUAAGUAGUUUUUUG
Molecule: long non-coding RNA, 1371 nt
Filed under: Pelobates cultripes (western spadefoot toad)
Lineage: Eukaryota; Metazoa; Chordata; Amphibia; Anura; Pelobatidae
Source: RNAcentral